GAUGAACGCUGGCGGCGUGCCUAAUACAUGCAAGUCGAGCGAACGGACGAGAAGCUUGCUUUUCUGAUGUUAGCGGCGGACGGGUGAGUAACACGUGGAUAACCUACCUAUAAGACUGGGAUAACUUCGGGAAACCGGAGCUAAUACCGGAUAAUAUUUUGAACCGCAUGGUUCAAAAGUGAAAGACGGUCUUGCUGUCACUUAUAGAUGGAUCCGCGCUGCAUUAGCUAGUUGGUAAGGUAACGGCUUACCAAGGCAACGAUGCAUAGCCGACCUGAGAGGGUGAUCGGCCACACGGGAACUGAGACACGGUCCAGACUCCUACGGGAGGCAGCAGUAGGGAAUCUUCCGCAAUGGGCGAAAGCCUGACGGAGCAACGCCGCGUGAGUGAUGAAGGUCUUCGGAUCGUAAAACUCUGUUAUUAGGGAAGAACAUAUGUGUAAGUAACUGUGCACAUCUUGACGGUACCUAGUCAGAAAGCCACGGCUAACUACGUG
Molecule: ribosomal RNA, 497 nt
Filed under: uncultured bacterium
Lineage: Bacteria
Description: partial 16S ribosomal RNA
Rfam family: Bacterial small subunit ribosomal RNA
Source: RNAcentral